RNAcentral lists this small RNA (616 nucleotides) under Pan troglodytes (chimpanzee). RNAcentral's name for it is "processed transcript". Lineage: Eukaryota; Metazoa; Chordata; Mammalia; Primates; Hominidae. The record is from RNAcentral.
GUGGGAGUGCUGAUUCUGUCCUCCUUGCGGGUGCGGAGAUGGUUGUCUUGGUUACGGGUCCUAACGGUCCCCUGCCUUGAAAUCCCUUGUUGAGGGCCUGCAACCUUGUGCUUCCGACUGGAGACGCCUUUGGUCCCUCGGUGUCUGCACUGGCUGCUGGCCAAGCCUUCAGUGUGGAGUAAUUGACACUUUCGAGAUUGAAGAAUUGGAGGAGAAACUUAAUGAUGCACUUCACCAGAAGCAGCUACUAACAUUGAGAUUAGACAACCAAUUGGCUUUUCAACAGAAAGAUGCCAGCAAAUAUCAAGAAUUAAUGAAACAGGAAAUGGAAACCAUUUUGUUGAGACAGAAACAACUAGAAGAGACAAAUCUUCAGCUAAGAGAAAAAGCUGGAGAUGUUCGUCGAAACCUGCGUGACUUUGAGUUGACAGAAGAGCAAUAUAUUAAAUUAAAAGCUUUUCCUGAAGAUCAGCUUUCUAUUCCUGAAUAUGUAUCUGUUCGCUUCUAUGAGCUAGUGAAUCCAUUAAGAAAGGAAAUCUGUGAACUACAAGUGAAAAAGAAUAUCCUAGCAGAAGAAUUAAGUACAAACAAAAACCAACUGAAGCAGCUGACAGAG